UCAUGAUGAACGCUAGCUACAGGCUUAACACAUGCAAGUCGAGGGGCAUCAGGAAGAAAGCUUGCUUUCUUUGCUGGCGACCGGCGCACGGGUGAGUAACACGUAUCCAACCUGCCCUUUACUCGGGGAUAGCCUUUCGAAAGAAAGAUUAAUACCCGAUGGCAUAAUGAUUCCGCAUGGUUUCAUUAUUAAAGGAUUCCGGUAAAGGAUGGGGAUGCGUUCCAUUAGGUUGUUGGUGAGGUAACGGCUCACCAAGCCUUCGAUGGAUAGGGGUUCUGAGAGGAAGGUCCCCCACAUUGGAACUGAGACACGGUCCAAACUCCUACGGGAGGCAGCAGUGAGGAAUAUUGGUCAAUGGGCGCUAGCCUGAACCAGCCAAGUAGCGUGAAGGAUGAAGGCUCUAUGGGUCGUAAACUUCUUUUAUAUAAGAAUAAAGUGCAGUAUGUAUACUGUUUUGUAUGUAUUAUAUGAAUAAGGAUCGGCUAACUCCGUGCCAGCAGCCGCGGUAAUACGGAGGAUCCGAGCGUUAUCCGGAUUUAUUGGGUUUAAAGGGAGCGUAGGUGGACUGGUAAGUCAGUUGUGAAAGUUUGCGGCUCAACCGUAAAAUUGCAGUUGAUACUGUCAGUCUUGAGUACAGUAGAGGUGGGCGGAAUUCGUGGUGUAGCGGUGAAAUGCUUAGAUAUCACGAAGAACUCCGAUUGCGAAGGCAGCUCACUGGACUGCAACUGACACUGAUGCUCGAAAGUGUGGGUAUCAAACAGGAUUAGAUACCCUGGUAGUCCACACAGUAAACGAUGAAUACUCGCUGUUUGCGAUAUACAGUAAGCGGCCAAGCGAAAGCAUUAAGUAUUCCACCUGGGGAGUACGCCGGCAACGGUGAAACUCAAAGGAAUUGACGGGGGCCCGCACAAGCGGAGGAACAUGUGGUUUAAUUCGAUGAUACGCGAGGAACCUUACCCGGGCUUAAAUUGCAGUGGAAUGAUGUGGAAACAUGUCAGUGAGCAAUCACCGCUGUGAAGGUGCUGCAUGGUUGUCGUCAGCUCGUGCCGUGAGGUGUCGGCUUAAGUGCCAUAACGAGCGCAACCCUUAUCUUUAGUUACUAACAGGUUAUGCUGAGGACUCUAGAGAGACUGCCGUCGUAAGAUGUGAGGAAGGUGGGGAUGACGUCAAAUCAGCACGGCCCUUACGUCCGGGGCUACACACGUGUUACAAUGGGGGGUACAGAAGGCAGCUAGCGGGUGACCGUAUGCUAAUCCCAAAAGCCUCUCUCAGUUCGGAUCGAAGUCUGCAACCCGACUUCGUGAAGCUGGAUUCGCUAGUAAUCGCGCAUCAGCCACGGCGCGGUGAAUACGUUCCCGGGCCUUGUACACACCGCCCGUCAAGCCAUUGGAGCCGGGGGUACCUGAAGUACGUAACCGCAAGGAUCGUCCUAGGGUAAA
Molecule: ribosomal RNA, 1439 nt
Filed under: uncultured organism
Description: SSU rRNA
Rfam family: Bacterial small subunit ribosomal RNA
Source: RNAcentral